GAUGAACGCUGGCGGCGUGCCUAAUACAUGCAAGUCGAGCGAACGGACGAGAAGCUUGCUUCUCUGAUGUUAGCGGCGGACGGGUGAGUAACACGUGGAUAACCUACCUAUAAGACUGGGAUAACUUCGGGAAACCGGAGCUAAUACCGGAUAAUAUUUUGAACCGCAUGGUUCAAAAGUGAAAGACGGUCUUGCUGGCACUUAUAGAUGGAUCCGCGCUGCAUUAGCUAGUUGGUAAGGUAACGGCUUACCAAGGCAACGAUGCAUAGCCGACCUGAGAGGGUGAUAGGCCACACUGGAACUGAGACACGGUCCUGAGUCCUGCGGGAGGCAGCAGUAGGGAAUCUUCCGCAAUGGGCGAAAGCCUGACGGAGCAACGCCGCGUGAGUUAUGAAGGUCUUCGGAUCGUAAAACUCUGUUAUUAGGGAAGAACAUAUGUGUAAGUAACUGUGCACAUCUUGACGGUACCUAAUCAGAAAGCCACGGCUAACUACGUG
Molecule: ribosomal RNA, 497 nt
Filed under: uncultured bacterium
Lineage: Bacteria
Description: partial 16S ribosomal RNA
Rfam family: Bacterial small subunit ribosomal RNA
Source: RNAcentral